GAUCUUAAGAAAAACACACUCUCAAGAUCCAAUCCUCCACCACCCUUAGAUUAGAGUUAAGCCAGCUUCGUUAAUAGAAGUUAACCAAAGGAUUCAUUAUGGAAGAAAACUUAAUGAGAUGAAAUAUUUUGAGAGGGUUAAAAACAAAUUUUAAUAUAUUUAAAGGGUCAAAAACAAAAUUAGGUUAAAUGUGCCGAGACAGAUUGUUGUAAACUGAGACUCAUCCCGUUACCACAAAACGGGAACCGAAUUCUGUCGUUCUCUCGCCACUACAUUCUGAGUCAAAGCUAGUCAAAAUACAGAGAUGGAACCCGAAUCAUGCAAUGCAGUACUUCCAAGACCUCAGGUUAAUGCCACAUUUCGCCUCGGUGCAGAAUCAUAUUCUGUUAAGGCAACCAAUGGCUCUUCGUUAUCAGAGCAACUAGUUAACCUGAAAGCGCAAAGCAUGGCAGUAUUGAAGGAUUUCAUAACAAAGCAUAAUGUUCCUCAAGAUGUUCCCGAUGAGUCGUUAGAAGCUUCUUCAGACGAUGAUGAUGAGGAUGCUAAGAAGCCUCAAGUAAAGUCUAAGAAAACUAAGUUUACUUAGCUUCUGAAAUAUGUUUUAAAUGUCUGAGUGAUUUUAUCUUUGUACUGUAUGAUUCUGCAAUUAGUUUUUAAUUAGUUUAUUGGAUAUUGUUUAGUGAAUGAUAACACAUUACAUAACAUAACAUCUCCUUUUUUGUAAUAUGAUUGUGCCUUCAUCUA
Long non-coding RNA from Lathyrus oleraceus (garden pea), 744 nucleotides. RefSeq lists it as uncharacterized. The transcript is spliced from 2 exons. The record is from RefSeq and is a predicted model, not a curated record. NCBI's taxonomy places the organism in Eukaryota, Viridiplantae, Streptophyta, Magnoliopsida, Fabales, Fabaceae.